GACGAACGCUGGCGGCGUGCUUAACACAUGCAAGUCGAACGGAAAGGCCCUGCUUUUGUGGGGUGCUCGAGUGGCGAACGGGUGAGUAACACGUGAGUAACCUGCCCUUGACUUUGGGAUAACUUCAGGAAACUGGGGCUAAUACCGGAUAGGAGCUCCUGCUGCAUGGUGGGGGUUGGAAAGUUUCGGCGGUUGGGGAUGGACUCGCGGCUUAUCAGCUUGUUGGUGGGGUAGUGGCUUACCAAGGCUUUGACGGGUAGCCGGCCUGAGAGGGUGACCGGCCACAUUGGGACUGAGAUACGGCCCAGACUCCUACGGGAGGCAGCAGUGGGGAAUAUUGCACAAUGGGCGGAAGCCUGAUGCAGAAACGCCGCGUGCGGGAUGACGGCCUUCGGGUUGUAAACCGCUUUCGCCUGUGACGAAGCGUGAGUCACGGUAAUGGGUAAAGAAGCACCGGCUAACUACGUG
Molecule: ribosomal RNA, 468 nt
Filed under: uncultured bacterium
Lineage: Bacteria
Description: partial 16S ribosomal RNA
Rfam family: Bacterial small subunit ribosomal RNA
Source: RNAcentral